AGAAAUCAAUAUAUAUAUAUAUAUAUCUCUUUUAAUACAUUAUAUAAGGCGCACAAUUUGAGUUUAUACAGAGAGGGCAAAGAAAAUUUACGAAAGAUCUGAAAAGUCUAUUACAUAGCCAGAAAUCAUACAAAAAGUGCAUUGAUAGGAGGAUAGUAUAGGCAGAGGGUCACGUGACCCUGCUUGACAAAUCAAGAUUCGAUUCCAGUUUACCAAGUCUAUAUAUAUAUGUAUAUAUAUAUCUGUGAUUGGUAAUUUCCUAUUUUCAGUUCAUCAUGAAGAGUUCGGUUUAUCAAAAGACAUCCUCGGCCGUAUUUCCGAGCUGAUACCAGAUCAACUGCUAGAGAAAAAAACGGAAGAUACCAAAAAUAUUCGCUGUGCGGAGUAUGGUUUUAGUAGAAAUUGAAGCCAUUCUGGAAUGAAUCCGGAAGGUUCCGUGGCCGCGGGUGGGUUAACAGCAUAUAGGUUUCUUUAAGUAUCAAAUAGUUAAAUCCAUCAGGAGACAAAAAUUACUUCUGUGUUAGUAAAAUGGCUGCCAUAGUCCUGGAGGCAUCUCAGAAGAGUCCACAUUCCUAAAAUCCAGGCAGGUCGUCGGGUGGUGAGCAAAUGACUUUUUGGUAUGGUGAAUACAAAAUUUUAGAAAGCUUAAAGGGCUUGUCCACUUCGGACUAUAUAUUUUUGCUUGAAGGCUGCCCGAGGAUAAGCAAAAAUCAGAGGGUAAACCCUCCAGCAAUCAAAGAACAGAAAUUUGGCAAGUGUUCAAUUUCCCUGCAGCGCCUCCACAGGGGAAAUAAAGUAUUACACUGCUUCCAUUAAAAAGAAUGGGCUGUCUGUGUACUGUAGGGCAGGGCAGGUCCUCCAGAGCAAGAGACGCUCUUUGUAGCCACUAAGGGGGUGUCUAAACCUAACAUCCCCUUUAAGGAAUUUUUUUUUAUUCACCAGCAGGAUGAACUCUAUUAAAGCAGCCAUGAUGUAUUGUAGGGCUGACCCUGCAGAUUAAAGCCACGCCAUUCUUUGCCUGAUUUUCUGCUGCGUUUAGGAUAAAUGUUUCUAAAAAUAUGCAAAUAAGGGCUUAAGUGCACCCUAUUCACUCAGUGCACCUUAGCUCUUCCACAGUACUUCCCUGGACACUUCUCCUUCCACUUGGACUUUUGGUUCUGUCAAUCAAACAGAAGGGAAUCAUAGUGAAGGAGCUAAGGUGCACUGAGUUGGUCUGAUUCAGCAAUUUAUUGUCUUAAUCAGCAGGGUCAGCCCUACCAGGCAUUACGGCUGGUUUAAUAGGGUUGAUCCUGCUGGCAAAUGCACUUUAAUUACUUUGCUCAUAGUGAUGAGAACAUCAUAAAGUUUCAAUAAACAGUGAAAUUCCUUUAUAUAGGAAACCUGAUAAUCCAGAAAACAUGAUAAUCCAGCAUGGAUUUCAGAGACCAUCAAUAUAUACCCUUCAUCAAGUGAGUUUUAUAUUCAUCUGAUAAUCUGAGAUUCAUCAGGUUCCUAUGGAUGUCGGAUUAUAGGAGAAUACUGCCUUUUACUAGUAUUUUUUUCUGCUUUGUGUUGGGAAGUUUAGGCAAUGACCAUUUACAGUUUCCGACCAUGAAGCAUGCUGGGAAAACUCCCCAUUGUGUAAAGCAUGGGUGACACAGAUAUUCUCAUGUGUUUCUCAGUGCCCUCUAGUGGCUUGAAGAAGGAACUUGGCUUUGUAGGUGCAGUUGUGAUAACCCCCAAACCCAAACUAUCUCGGUCUGUUCUCCAGGUAGGUGCAAGCCAGUAAGUAGCACCCAUUAAUGACAACCACUAACUUCCAUGCUUUAAUUUGCACAGAUAACGCCAGCAGUUAAUCGUCAGCUGCUUCUUCUCACAUAGUCAUGGGUGUGUACAUAAGAGCUUAGCUCCACCCUGGAGGAACGUUAAACCUUCUAUUAUGGGAUUUAAGUAUCUGUAGUUGCCCCCCUGCUGUCUACACUCAUAUGGGUGCCAUUAAUACCACUUGUGUCCUGCUGAUGGAGAUGGAAUUUCCAGCUGCAGCUCUGCUCUAUUAUGAGAACUACUAUUCCCAUUUAUAUACUGGUCACACUGGUGCCUUGGGAUCUGUUUUUACUGGACACAUGAUGGAUAUGUUUUGCAAUGGAUAUUGAGUGCUCCCUUUGGUAUUAAUCGACCAAUAAGAUUUUUGUUUAGUGAGUACAGUUUACAAGACUCCACCCACCAGGAGCAACAGCAACCGGGACACCGUUGUGACUCCAGCAAUGUGAUUUGUUUUUUAUUUACUUAUGUUAAUGAGAUGCCAAAUUCAUUAAGGGGGUUGUCUGGAAUUAGAAAGCAGGGACAGGUUUUGUACAUGGCGGUGUCUGGUAUUUCUGCUAAGCACCACCCAGUCGGAAAGAGCUGAGUUGUAAUGCCAGAUCCAACCAUCGAGUGGUGCUGUAUCUGGGGGAAAAAAAAGCAGAACCUUUUUUAUU
This is a long non-coding RNA of Bufo bufo (common toad), 2456 nucleotides long. RefSeq lists it as uncharacterized. The record is from RefSeq and is a predicted model, not a curated record. NCBI's taxonomy places the organism in Eukaryota, Metazoa, Chordata, Amphibia, Anura, Bufonidae. The transcript is spliced from 2 exons.